This 223-nucleotide long non-coding RNA is filed under the name Trifolium pratense (red clover). RNAcentral's name for it is "long non-coding RNA (TPRA_LNC004846)". Lineage: Eukaryota; Viridiplantae; Streptophyta; Magnoliopsida; Fabales; Fabaceae. The record is from RNAcentral.
UUUUUUUUUUGACAAACAACAACUUAUACCAUUUCAUUAUUCAAAAUAGAAGUAAUACAAGGAGGUAACAUCUCAAGACUAUAGUGACAAGGCCACGAAAUGGCCGCUUUCGCAAGCGUAUGGGCAGCCAUGUUCGCUUGUCGCUUAAUAAACUUUACCACAAAGUUUGGAUUCAUCAAUAGUACAUUUUUAAUAUUACAAAUAAUUGAACUAAACUCCGAGG